This 502-nucleotide ribosomal RNA is filed under the name uncultured bacterium. RNAcentral describes it as "bacterial SSU rRNA". It matches the Rfam family "Bacterial small subunit ribosomal RNA", at positions 32 to 518 of the family's 1533-position model. The record is from RNAcentral.
GACGAAACGCUGGCGGCGUGGAUUAGGCAUGCAAGUCGAACGGUAUCAUCCUUUCGGGGGUGAGAGAGUGGCGAACUGGUGAGUAACACGUAGGUUAUCUACCCUCAAGACGAGGACAACCCAGGGAAACUUGGGCUAAUACCGGAUGUGAGCAACUUUUAGUUGUUUGAAAGGUUGGCGUAAGCUGUCGCUUGGGGAUGAGCCUGCGUCCUAUUAGUUAGUUGGUGAGGUAACGGCUCACCUAGGCAAUGAUAGGUAGGCGGCCUUAACGGGUGGUCGCCCACACUGGGAUUGAGAUACGGCCCAGACUCCUACGGGAGGCAGCAGUCGAGAAUAGUCUACAAUGGUCGGAAGACUGAUAGUGCGACGCCGCGUGAACGAUGAAUCCCUUCGGGGUGUAAAGUUCUUUUAUAUGUGAGCAGUGCUUCUUAUAUUAACAGUAUGGGGAGAGAGAUAUUAGCAUAUGAAUAAGCAACGGCUAACUCCGUGCCCAGCAGCCGAC